This 305-nucleotide ribosomal RNA is filed under the name uncultured bacterium. RNAcentral describes it as "bacterial SSU rRNA". It matches the Rfam family "Bacterial small subunit ribosomal RNA", at positions 334 to 636 of the family's 1533-position model. The record is from RNAcentral.
UUUGCCUACGGGGGGCAGCAGUGAGGAAUAUUGGUCAAUGGGCGGGAGCCUGAACCAGCCAAGCCGCGUGAGGGAAGACGGUCCUAUGGAUUGUAAACCUCUUUAGGCGGGGAGCAAUGCCGGGCACGCGUGCCCGGAGGGAGAGUACCCGCAGAAUAAGCAUCGGCUAACUCCGUGCCAGCAGCCGCGGUAAUACGGAGGAUGCGAGCGUUAUCCGGCUUUAUUGGGUUUAACGGUUGCGUAGGCGGAUUUUUAAGUCCGCGGUAAAAUGUCCUGGCUCAACCCGGGCCGGCCGUUGCAACUGG